RNAcentral lists this ribosomal RNA (253 nucleotides) under uncultured bacterium. RNAcentral describes it as "partial 16S ribosomal RNA". It matches the Rfam family "Bacterial small subunit ribosomal RNA", at positions 524 to 776 of the family's 1533-position model. The record is from RNAcentral.
UACAGAGGUCUCAAGCGUUGUUCGGAUUCAUUGGGCGUAAAGGGUUCGUAGGUGGCCAACUAAGUCAGACGUGAAAUCCCUCAGCUUAACUGGGGAACUGCGUCUGAUACUGGUUGGCUUGAGUGCAGGAGAGGAAUGCGGAAUUCCAGGUGUAGCGGUGAAAUGCGUAGAUAUCUGGAGGAACACCGGUGGCGAAGGCGGCGUUCUGGACUGCAACUGACACUGAGGAACGAAAGCCAGGGGAGCAAACGGG